Molecule: long non-coding RNA, 1046 nt
Filed under: Chrysolophus pictus (golden pheasant)
Lineage: Eukaryota; Metazoa; Chordata; Aves; Galliformes; Phasianidae
Description: lncRNA (ENSCPIG00010006834.1)
Source: RNAcentral
GUCAGAGGAAGUCUUUGUGCUUGGUUUUACUUUAUGUUAGAAACAUAGACAGGUUUUUUUCCUUUUUUAGGGAAAAAAAUUUACAUGUACAGAGAACAAAACUAUAUUUUCAGUUUUACUUUUGUAUAUAAACCUAAGAUGGCCUCACUGAUAAAAAAUAACAAAAAAAAAAAACAACACGAAGCAAAACACACACACAAAAAACCCACAAAAACAAGGAACUUCGAUUUUCUGGAUGCUGAAGAUUCUACACCUGUGCAUUUGUCAUUCGUGAGUUCUGCCCGGUACCCGCAGAGCAGCCGCGUCCUGUCCGUACCUUUUGUAAAGCGGAGCACCCAGAGACGUUUGCAGAGCUGAGCGAGGCAAUGUUCCCACUGACUGAACAGUGUACUGAAGAGGAGCUGAGGAGCAGCCCGCGUCCGUUUCCACCACGGUAUUAAAAUCUUUUUCAUUCACAUAUAAAACCGAUCGUGGCAAGCGUGGUAAGACAGGAUCUGGCAUCUUGCUGCCCGCGCUUGGAGAGUGAGGCCGCCUGGUGAUGUCUUCCACUCCUCCUGCGUUGCCCCGAAGGGAAGGAAGGCUGCUCAGUUUGCUGCUGCCAUCUCCAACCUCGUUGCUCUGCAAAGAAGGGAGAGAAAUGUUCCCGAAACUCUUUGCGGUGUGAAUCCCAUAUGCUUUGAGUAUUCAUGUUUCACGCUGGGGUGUGCUGUAUAGUCGAUAAUCUCUGUGCCUCUGACCACAGUUAACGUGACUUGGUAGAAGUCUCAGUCUUUCUCAAAGUUCCCUGCAAAUGGAGCUCCGAUCUCCCCCGUCAGGUUGCUGAUGAGAAGAGCUGCUGCAAAGUGCUGCAGUGCGUGCCUGCUGAUGUGGGGCAGCCGCGGUCCUUCGGUGGUGGUUUGUGACCCUGAGUUCCUGCAGGGGAGGGGUGGGGGUGGGUGCUCCGUAUGGGGUCAGGGUGUGCACACAGCGUGGGCUGGACGUGGCUUUGGGUCCUGGUGAGCAUUACUGCUGCGUUGUAAGGGAAUAAACCACCACAUUGAACUCCA